This 666-nucleotide ribosomal RNA is filed under the name Triticum aestivum (bread wheat). Its description in RNAcentral is "partial small subunit ribosomal RNA". Lineage: Eukaryota; Viridiplantae; Streptophyta; Magnoliopsida; Poales; Poaceae. The record is from RNAcentral.
AUGGUUCCAUUCGUCGGCAGCGGCGAGGGCGCAGAUGGAGGAGUUGAGCUGGAGAAGCUGCAAGACCCUCUUGUAGAAUGCUGGCUCAGCAUCAAGGUGAGAAGCGGCUGCGGCGGCGGCCUCGUGCGUGUGGGGGACGAAAGGAUUGCGUGCGUGAUGCCUUUGGUAAUAUGCCAAUAUACCCUGGUAGGAUUCUUUGCUCGCAACAAAAUGCACUGCUGGAAGAUGUCUAUCCUGAAAUUCUUCAGUUGCAAGGACUUCUUAUUCAAGAUGCCUCUACUGAAGACAAGCCUCAGAGUAUCCAAGAUGCAUCUGGCACUAGGCGGAAUCUGUUCGAAGCUUGCUAAAGCAUUGUUGGCUUUGGAGGAGAACCAGAUGUGGGAUGUUAUUGAAGGUGUGUGGGUGGAGAUGCUCUGCUUCUCAGCCAGUAGGUGCCGAGGGUACCUACACGCCAAGAGUCUAGGCUCUGGCCUGGAGCUUCUCACAUGUAUCUGGCUCCUGCUGUCAUACAUGGGGAUGGAGACCUUGCCGGAAAGGCUGCAGAGAACCGAGCUUUCAAGUGGAGAAGGAAAUGCCGGCGCCCCUCCAUCGCCUUCCCAGGCAUCCAGGAGUGAAGAUCCACGGCCUCAUCAAGCUGCUGCUGCUGGUCGCGCGUCUACCAGCUGA